This 36-nucleotide transfer RNA is filed under the name Juanulloa mexicana. RNAcentral's name for it is "partial tRNA-Leu". Lineage: Eukaryota; Viridiplantae; Streptophyta; Magnoliopsida; Solanales; Solanaceae. The record is from RNAcentral. RNAcentral also lists the same sequence under 9 other names.
GGGGGAUAUGGCGAAAUUGGUAGACGCUACGGACUU